Etheostoma spectabile (orangethroat darter) is the source of this 343-nucleotide long non-coding RNA. RefSeq lists it as uncharacterized. The transcript has 4 exons. NCBI's taxonomy places the organism in Eukaryota, Metazoa, Chordata, Actinopteri, Perciformes, Percidae. The record is from RefSeq and is a predicted model, not a curated record.
GGGAGAACCUCUACCGGAGGGAAAGGGAAAAACCCUUUAAACUGAUACUGGAGGACGGCAGUCAGUUCCUGUUUGCAGCGUCCAGCAGAGACCUGCAGCUGCUCUGGGGGGAAGAAACUCCAAAAGGCUCAGAAUCUACCAGCAGCGACUCUGACGACUCUAGGGAGAGCGUAUCGGUCAACACUGAGUUGGAGAAGUUGGCGAGGGGAUCGGACGAUCCGUCUCCGACCAAACUGCUGUACCAGAGACCUGAGAGCAGGGGGAGAGUGACAGUGUCACGGAGGGAAAGUUGUCCAUGGAGGGAAAGGCUCUCCAAACCUCCUAACACGUUAUUACAACAAAC